Molecule: ribosomal RNA, 1509 nt
Filed under: uncultured bacterium
Lineage: Bacteria
Description: bacterial SSU rRNA
Rfam family: Bacterial small subunit ribosomal RNA
Source: RNAcentral
AGGGUUUGAUCCUGGCUCAGGACGAACGCUGGCGGCGCGCCUAAUGAAUGCGAGUCGAACGAGAAACAGACGGCUGAUCUCUUCGGAGUAACGCGGUCUGUGGAGAGUGGCAUACGGGUGAGUAACACGUGGGUAACCUGCCUCCAAGACGGGGACAACACAGGGAAACUUGUGCUAAUCCCCGAUAGUCUACCGACACGUUGGUGUUGGCUAGUAAAAGGUUUCGUACCGCUUGGAGAUGGGCCCGCGGCUCAUUAGCUAGUUGGUGAGGUAACGGCUCACCAAGGCGACGAUGGGUAGCCGGUCUGAGAGGAUGAUCGGCCACACUGGGACUGCGACAUGGUCCAGACUCCUACGGGAGUUAGCAUCAGGGAAUCUUGCACAAUGAGCGAAAGCUUGAUGCAGCGACGCCGCGUGUGUGAUGAAGGCCUUCGGGUCGUAAAGCACUGUCAGGAGGGAAGAAUGCCACGUCUUUGGCGUGGUGAGACAGUACCUCCAGAGGAAGCCCCGGCUAACUACGUGCCAGCAGCCGCGGUAAAACGUAGGGGGCCAGCGUUGUCCGGAAUUACUGGGCGUAAAGAGCGCGUAGGCGGCUUAGUAAGCGGAGGGUGCAAUCCCGAGGCUCAACCUCGGAACUGCUCUCCGAACUGCCAGGCUUGAGUACGGGAGAGGAUAGUGGAAUUCCUGGUGUAGCGGUGGAAUGCGUAAAUAUCAGGAGGAACACCUGUGGCGAAGGCUGCUAUCUGGAACGUAACUGACGCUAAGGCGCGAAAGCUAGGGGAGCAAACGGGAUUAGAUACCCCGGUAGUCCUAGCCGUAAACGAUGGACACUAGGUGUUGGAGGCAUCGACCCCUUCAGUGCUGUUCUGUUAACGCGUUAAGUGUCCCGCCUGGGGAGUACGGUCGCAAGGCUAAAACUCAAAGGAAUUGACGGGGGCCCGCACAAGCGGUGGAGCAUGUUGGUUAAUUGGAGGAUACGUCAAGAACCUUACCAGGGCUUGACAUGUUUCUGAUCGCCUGGGAAACCAGGUUUUCCACUUCGGUGGACAGAAUCACAGGUGGUGCAUGGUUGUCGACAGCUCGUGUCGUGAGAUGUUGGGUUAAGUCCCGCAACGAGCGCAACCCUCACCGAAUGUUGCCAGCGGAUAAUGCCGGGGACUCUUUCGGGACUGCCUGAGCAAUCAGGAGGAAGGGGGGGACGACGUCAAAUCGGCAUGCCCCUUAUGUCCUGGGCUGCAAACGUGCUACAAUGGCCGGUACAGAGGGAAGCGAAGCCGCGAGGUGUAGCUAAUCCCCAAAGCCGGUCCCAGUUCGGAUUGGAUGUCUGCAACUCGACUCCAUGAAGCUGGAAUCGCUAGUAACCGCGGAUCAGCAAUGCCGCGGUGAAUACGUUCCCGGGCCUUGUACACACCGCCCGUCAAAUCACGAAAGCUUGCAGCACCCGAAGUCCGUCUUAGGGCGGCCGAAGGUGAGGCCAGUGAUUGGGAUUAAGUCGUAACAAGGUAGCCG